GGUAAAAUGGCUGAGGAUAAGCGAUAAAUUGUAAAUUUAUUUACGGAAUUAAUUUCCUUUUACCA
This 65-nucleotide transfer RNA is filed under the name Cucujoidea sp. 41 KM-2017. RNAcentral describes it as "tRNA-Tyr". It matches the Rfam family "tRNA". From Rfam's summary of the family: Transfer RNA (tRNA) molecules are approximately 80 nucleotides in length. Their secondary structure includes four short double-helical elements and three loops (D, anti-codon, and T loops). Further hydrogen bonds mediate the characteristic L-shaped molecular structure. tRNAs have two regions of fundamental functional importance: the anti-codon, which is responsible for specific mRNA codon recognition, and the 3' end, to which the tRNAs corresponding amino acid is attached (by aminoacyl-tRNA synthetases). tRNAs cope with the degeneracy of the genetic code in two manners: having more than one tRNA (with a specific anti-codon) for a particular amino acid; and 'wobble' base-pairing, i.e. permitting non-standard base-pairing at the 3rd anti-codon position. Lineage: Eukaryota; Metazoa; Arthropoda; Insecta; Coleoptera. The record is from RNAcentral.